GUGGGGAAUUUUGGACAAUGGGCGCAAGCCUGAUCCAGCAAUGCCGCGUGCAGGAAGAAGGCCUUCGGGUUGUAAACUGCCUUUGUACGGAACGAAACGGUCCUGGUUAAUACCCGGGGGUCAUGACGGUACCGUAAGAAUAAGCACCGGCUAACUACGUGCCAGCAGCCGCGGUAAUACGUAGGGUGCGAGCGUUAAUCGGAAUUACUGGGCGUAAAGCGUGCGCAGGCGGUGAUGUAAGACAGUUGUGAAAUCCCCGGGCUCAACCUGGGAACUGCAUCUGUGACUGCAUUGCUGGAGUGCGGCAGAGGGGGAUGGAAUUCCGCGUGUAGCAGUGAAAUGCGUAGAUAUGCGGAGGAACACCGAUGGCGAAGGCAAUCCCCUGGGCCUGCACUGACGCUCAUGCACGAAAGCGUGGGGAGCAAACAGGAUUAGAUACCCGUGUAGUCC
RNAcentral lists this ribosomal RNA (450 nucleotides) under uncultured bacterium. RNAcentral describes it as "partial 16S ribosomal RNA". It matches the Rfam family "Bacterial small subunit ribosomal RNA", at positions 354 to 796 of the family's 1533-position model. The record is from RNAcentral.